Molecule: non-coding RNA, 203 nt
Organism: Pelobates cultripes (western spadefoot toad)
Lineage: Eukaryota; Metazoa; Chordata; Amphibia; Anura; Pelobatidae
Source: the annotation of a GenBank genome assembly
AGAAGAUCUGCUGCAUCCUGUGGGCCGUGGAUUUGGUGAGUUGUUUCUCCCUGCUGCACGAGGAGUGUGUGAGCUGACCUCCAGCGGUAUAAGAUUUUGUGCCUCUGGAGUGUGGCAGUGAGGGGUCUGAGUGAUCUACGCCACGCCAGAGUUCCGUUCGAGAGGUCAUUGGAGAAUGUUAGCUUCGUAUUCUCAAAUUGUAG